UAUAUUGUCUCUGUCAAGAAUUAUUGUGGUCCAGUUCUCUCUGACCUAAUCCACUCAUUUAAAUUACAACAGGGGAAAAAAAAUCUCUCCGUUCAAAGAAACAGAGAAACUUCAGAGAGUCUUUUAUCUAAUGAACUCUUUGCAAAAGAUUGUAUAGGACAAGAACUUCCAGACAUCAACCUUAUUUUGGUACAAAUGGAUGUGUUAUCGUGAAGAAAAGUUUCCUCAGAAAUCAUCCUGACUUGUAGGAGGUUUGGCUUUUUCCUGCAUCUGUGCUAAGAAACAUGAUCAAACUGAAGGGAGGAAGAAGCUGAGUGUACAAGAAAUCGAAGAAAUUCCAUGCUUAUAACAGAUUUUCAGCAAAAGAGACUUUUGGCAUCCAAAAAACUGGGCACUGAUGAGAACUGACUCAUCUGAAGUUUGAAUGAGAUUCAUUCUGGGCUCUGUUAUGAUGACAAAGUAGGAUGUUCGAAUCUGUGAAGCUGUUUGCAUUAUUUCAGGGACAUAAAAAUGGGUUUAAAUUUGAUGUUGUUUCUUUGUUAAGAGCAUCUUAUGUUCAGCCAGGGCUACAUCACAUGUAACGAUUGCCUGAUAAGACAAACACCAUCUCUAUGAACAGCCCCCUGCCGUCAACACUGCCCUUGUCACAAACCCAGAACAUUUCCUCCAGCUUUCUUGAUCUGUAAGUCUACUGCAAUAUUACAAAGUUUUUAUUCUUAAAAAAUAAAUUCCAGGCACAUUCACAGAAUCAAAGAAGAAAUCAAGUUGGAUGGGAUCCUUGAAGGUCAUCUUGUACAACCCUCCUGCGUUGUUAAUGAUCUCAGGAAAGAGCUUAAAUCUGAACGUUCCUCUUCAUCACCAGCCUUCUACAAUGAAUGAGGAUGUCUUUGAGCUGAAACAUAAACAGGAAAAUGCUUUAAACCACUUGAUUUUCUUCUGAUACUGAGUUUUAGCCAACAUUAUUCAUGGACCGAUCAAAGGAGGCAUAGUGUUGAAUUACCUUGGGUUGUCUGCAGUUCUCAAAGGGUCAUUUUGAGAGCUGAGAUUGUGUACUGGUUACAGCUAAGAUUGAGUUAAAUAUCUUUCUGGUGUCUUGAAUGAGGCAAAGUCAUUGUCAAAGGUUGUGUCUCAGAUGAAA
This is a long non-coding RNA of Pogoniulus pusillus (Red-fronted tinkerbird), 1138 nucleotides long. RefSeq lists it as uncharacterized. The transcript has 3 exons. Lineage: Eukaryota; Metazoa; Chordata; Aves; Piciformes; Lybiidae. The record is from RefSeq and is a predicted model, not a curated record.